CGUUGUGCUUCGUGUUAUUUCUUCACAAAGAGCAGGCUUUUUGUUUGCAGUGCUGUUGUUGUACUCUUUGUUUGUAGUGUUUACAUUCCGAUAAAGGGCCGAAGCUGAGUGCAGGGCAGAGACCCAGCUGUACACUCCGGCUGAGUCUGGGAUUGUUAUCCUGGGAUAUGUCUGUGCCAAGGGACAAAUAGGAAUAACACUCGGUACAUUCAGGCAGUCAGCUGACUUCACGGUAUACUGAUCGACUGAAGCAACUCCAGAUCAUGACCCUCAUCUCCAGAGGCUUCUUGUACAGUGACCACUAUGUCUGAUGAUGAGUUCAUCACUUUCUGCACUUCCCCUGAUGCCUCAUCACUCUGGACUUAUCAGACCGCAUGACCUUUUUCCAUUGCUCCAGAGUCCAAUCUUUUAUGCUCCCUAGCAAAUUGAAGCCUUUUCUCCUGAUUAGUCUCGCUAACAAGUGGCCACACAGCUGUUUUAAUCCCAAUCCUUCAGCUUGUGCAUGUGGAAAUGCUCCUAGUUUCACGAUGACACGCAGCCAUGAGUUUGACUGUGUGUUCUUUUCACGAAUUGAUUUCGCCAAGCGUUCAAGUCCUCUCCGAUCAUAUUCGGCUGGGUGACCAGUUUUACAGAGAAGCCAUCGAGCACUGUCGCAGCUAUAAUGCUCGUCUGUGUGCCGAGCGCAGCGUCCGCCUGCCCUUCCUCGAUUCUCAAACCGGUGUCGCCCAGAACAACUGCUACAUCUGGAUGGAACGUCAUCAUCGUGGACCAGGUUUGGCAGCUGGCCAGAUGUAUACAUACCCUGCCCGAUGCUGGAGAAAGAAGAGGAGGUUACACACUUCCAUGGAUUCAAGCCUUCACCUCUACGGUCUAAAUAUAGAUAACGGCCUGACGGCUAAAGAUACUUUGCCUACACCAAGCACUACGCUGGAGGCUUUGCUGAGAGGGGACAGCUUGGACAAGAGGAACAGCACCAGAGACGAGGACCUGCUGGAGAUUCAGAGAGUUUUGGAGGCUGACGCCAACGAAGAUGGUUACCAUGACGAUGAAGACUUUGAAGUGGACAUACCAAAAAGGAAACACCGGGGAAAAGGCAGAGGUCGAGGCUCAGGACGCCGGAGGACAGACCAUGAUGACCAAGAUAAGCCAUAUAUCUGUGAAAACAGAUACAAACAAAAGCAUAACUCAAAAACUGCAGCUUCAGUCUGUGGGAAACGCUACAGGAAUCGCACUGGCUUAAGCUACCACUAUGGCCAUAGCCACAUUGCAGAUAAGGAGGGACCUCAAGCCAGAGACCCAGAGCCAUCACAGUCUCCAGCCAUCAAUCACCGUCCUCACAGUCGCAAACAUCAGAAGAGUCCAGAUGAAGCUCAUACGCUGAACAAUUUCUGCAAAGUCUGUCAAGUACAUUCAGACUCCAAACUGAAAGAUGACAAAUGCUCCAAGUGCAUUCUCUUAGGUGGACCUGAUGAAGCGAAGGAGGAGAAGCCUUUCACUGGAGCAGAGGAGCUGUUUGGUACGAGCUCCGAGAGCGACACUUCUACAUUUCAUGGCUUUGAGGAAGAUGAGCUGGAAGAGCCUCUGUCCAACAGCGGUGAGGCCUCUCCAAAGGGCAGAUAGAGAACAGUUUUUAAAAGACAUGCCGUUCCUUUAACACAGCGCAUCCCCCUGCAAAAAUUCUGCUGCUUCUUUUUAGAGUUUUUGUUUUUCCCCUUUCCCUUUUAUUAGAAGCACAAGUCAUUGUAUCAGAAGAUCAUGUAUGAAAAGGUUUAUCUUCGUUUUAAUGAGUUGUGUAUAUUAUUAUUUAUACAUUAAGAGCAAAUAGGAAACCCCCCCCCCCCUUUUUUUAAAGAACAUUUUCUAUUGUUUUUUCCCUUGAGGAGAAACAGUGGUAUAUUAUAAGGGCCAUACUGGACAGCGAUUAAUUGCAGAUUUAUUCCUGGAGUCAUUUUUGGAGACUGAAGGGGGGGAAUACCCUUAAAGGAGACCUUGCCCCCAUUAAAGAGUACAAGUCCGUGAAGAGAAGACGUGAACUUCAAGAUAAACUGCUAGCAUUUCAUGUCACUGGAAUUACCAAGGGAUGCAACUGAGAUCUCCUCAAUAAUUCAGCUGGGUACUUAGUCUUGUGUACUGUGACUGCGCCAAAAUGGAGUUGGGACAACUUUUAAGGAGAGGAGUAGCAGAUGCACCGUGUCUCAUCCUGCUUUGGCGAUUAAGGAGCUAUUGUGAAGAGAUUAUCUGAAUGAACUGUGUAAAUGUAGGAGACCUUGGCUAUGGAAAGAGAGAUGAGCUGCUCUUGGAAAGGAAAAUAAUUUCCAGAGUCUCGAUCCACCUCUUCAGUCUUCUGAAUGUCUGAGGCAGUGAAGCUGAGGAAGCCUCAGUUCAGCCAGACACACACCAGACUCGCACUCAUGGACAAGUAUUGAUUUUUUUUUUCCUUCUUUUUUUUUUUUCCCCCCCUCCUUUUUUUUUUUUUUUUUCCAAAUACCUCUUGGACUGCUGCUGCUCCCCUUGCAUUGUUCUGCAGCCUGAAUCUGAGACUGUGAUCAGAGCCAUAUGAAACUCUUCCUCCACUCUCUGUACUGUGGGAGUCUCGGACAGUCUUGGAGAGAGUCCUGUUCUAGCUUUACAGUGUCACUUGCUAAGGUUACAACCUCAAAGACUGUACUUAAUAUGUAAACUACUUGGUUUUAUUCAGGUUCUUUAUAGCCAUUGUAUGAUUUUUGUUGUAACAUAAACAUGGUGUGGUCUGUGAAAUGUCAUGUUCACACAUUUUUUUUAAGAUUACACAUGAAAGCACAAAGCCAUCCUGCUAGCUUUACUACAUCUGACUCUGGUUGGAUGACUUUCUGUUUCCACCACUCUUGUGCUUGCUCUACCAUCAUGUCAUGCAGCAAGUGUGAGAACAUGACACCAAAGCAGAGACGUUCUUUCCGUGUAACUUUCUUUCCAUGGCCCUGGUGCACAACAUUUUCUAUUCUGAAGCAACAUUGUGCUGUGUUUAAUCCAGUAAUCCAGUCUCUCAGGGGCAGACGAUGAUCCUGACAGCCAUAUUUAAAACGCACCACUGUAAAAUCCUCCAAAUGUGGAUCUUUUCAAACUGCAGUUUCGAUACCCAUUACGGAAAUGUUUGAUUUCUACUAAUGGAAAGUUUUUCUCUACAGGCUCUUCUACCCUGCUUGUAUUUGGGCCUCAAUACCUGCUCAGGCAUUUUCUUUGAAAUGUAGAACUGCUCCUUCCACGCAGCUGCUGUAAUACUGCAUAGUCAAGCUUCAUUAUGCAUUUGGUAAAGGAUGAAGCUAAAGUUAAGCUAAUCACACACUGGUAGGGUGUGACACUGAGGAACAAGCUGGAGGCUGUGACCCAGCAAAGCCGUCGACUUCCAAGGACAACCACUGAUGAAAGGCAGUUACAGGUUUGUAGCACUCAGCUACAGGUUGCUUUUUAAAAAUGAAUCAAAACGAUGUAUUUGUGUAGAAUAUUUUUCCAAUUAUUGGGAUCAUUAAAUCGGAAUGAAAUCCGCUCGAUCACAUUACAAGGAAUGAAGUAGGGGAUAAAACACAAUGUGGUGUGCAGUUCUAGGAUUAUUUUCGUCCAACGGCACAUUCCAUAGUGAUUCCUCUCGCACCACAGUCAUGUACCAAGGUGUUUUAAUUUAUUAAUGAAUGACACUUUUUUGCACUAUUUUUAAAUCCAGAUGUAGUUUGAUUACAUGUCACGGAUCAUCCGUGAAACAAAUUAGUUCCUGCUCUCACUCAGCAACUAUAAUCGUUCCCUCAUCAGCCUCCUUUUUUCUUUCUUUUGAAUUUAAUAAUGAGGAAAAAAACCCACGGUGAAACAGGAAAGCGCAGACUUGUUCGACGCAACUUUUCCCGCGACGCAAAAUUCACUGACCGUUACAAAGCUCUGAUGCUUGACUCAUUCUGUAAACGUUACUUAAAGGAGCGCGCCACCCUUCCCAGAAGCCUCUGCGCAAAGUAACGCCUCGCCAUUUUCACAUCUGUAGAUAUUUCAAAAACAAUCUUAAGCCAUAGAUCGUAAAUUCUCAUCUCAUUAUCUGUAGCCGCUUUAUCUUGUUCGACAAGGUCGCAGGCAAGCUGGAGCCUAUCCCAGCUGACUACGGGCGAAAGGCAGGGUACACCCUGGACAAGUCGCCAGGUCAUCACAGGGCUGACACAUAGACACAGACAACCAUCCACACUCACAUUCACACCUACGGUCAAUUUAGAGUCACCAGUUAACCUAACCUGCAUGUCUUUGGACUGUGGGGGAAACCGGAGCACCCGGAGGAAACCCACGCGGACACGGGGAGAACAUGCAAACUCCGCAAAGAAAGGCCCUCGCCGGCCACGGGGCUCGAACCCGGACCUUCUUGCUGUGAGGCGACAGUGCUAACCACUACACCACCGUGCCGCCUAGAUCAUAAAUUGUAACGUGAAAUUUGAAGAUAUUUUACCAAAGUAGUUACAUUUGGAAUUCUUUCGACCGGGCCGUUCCGUUUUCAUAUGGUUAUUCUGUUGUAAUUGACCGGAACGGGCUUCAGACGUCUUGUGGAUGGUCACGAAGGAAAGAAAAUAUCGGGCAUGUUCUGUUCAAAUCUUUCACGAGACGCAUGGAUGAAGAAAAUGUUUGGGAUGGAAAACACUUUGAAUGGAUCAGUACCAGUGAAUUUGCAGAGGUUUUAAUGCACAGAAAGCUACCAGAAUAGCGGUCACAUGAUUUAAAAAAAAAAAAAAAACCGAACUGGAUUCUGGGGAAAGGGUGGAAUCCGCUCCUUUUCAAUUCUUCCAAAUGAAAACUUCACUAUACAAAUUUCUUUGUUAAAUAACGACCCUUUUAUUGUUUUUUAAAUUCCGUUUAUUACUACGUGAAACGUCCAUUAUGCAGAUCCGUGUGUAUGAGCCGUUACUCUAGAAUCGGUCACAGUAUAUAUGAGAACUAGUGCAGUGAUCUAAACGUGUCGUUUAUGUUACAGCUGGACAUUACUGUCGGAGCUGCUAUAAAGAAAACGCAUCCACAAAUUCUGAUUUGAGAAAUGAACAGUGCUGUGGUAUAAAAUCAGACGAUGCAUGUAAUAAUGCUGAAAUGGCAUUACAUCCGCAUCCAUGAAUCCCAGUUCGUAGUUUUUGAUCAUUGGGGGGGGAUUCCUUAUUUAUUUUUUUAAAUUGUGCAUAAUGUCUUACUUUCCCCCCCUAUGUUUUAUAUUAAAAUAAUUGAGUAGAGCACUCGAGGAGCUCUGUGAAAAGCUGUGUGGAUUUGCAAAGGGUGUAUGACCACAUUAGAGCAUCAUCAGAAACAGAAAUGAAGUCUAAAGGUGCUGAGCUAAACCAUCAUGACGUCCAGUAUGGUGAAGAGGUUGGUACUCCAGGGUACAUGUUUAUUUCAGAAUAUGGGUGAAAAGACAUAGCUGUACCGAACAUUAUGGCACAUAGAUUUACACUUGAUGUGAAUAAUACUCCGCCUCCGUGUCGGCCAGAAGACUGUGAGUGCCAUUUAUUGUCUGUUCCUCACAUAUCUGAGCCCUGUUCCCACACUGAGGUUCUGAUCUGAGUUAGUCUCCAGUUCUAUAAGCAGUUGGUGAAUUAGGCAUAAUGCUGUGAUGUAAAUUUUAAUGCUUUUUUUUUUUCUUUUUGAGAAUAUUUUAUUUAUUUUUUAUGCAAGAAUAUUGUUGGCUUUGUCUACUGCACAUCUAGUUAGGCCUGCAAUGUUGACUUUGUGAGUUUUCGCGUUCAGAGAUAUGAAGGUUACCGAGUGAGGCACCGUGAAUGACAGAAAUGUGUACAUGACCUGCUUACAGUGACAUGGACUGGUGUGCAAAAGUGCACACACAAUAAGACACACUCAACAAACCCCCUCAGGGACCAUAACCACACAUUCAACAAGAGCAUGAGGAAUGAUGCUCUGGAAUAAGAAACAUCUUGUCUGUCAGAUUUCUUCACUCCUCCUCUCUACAGGUUUUAAGGACUGGUGUGCAUUUGCUGAUCUUCCAGGCAGUGGAUCUUGUGCACUUUUUGAACAACUAAUGCUCCUACUGAGGGGUUAUGAUUGAUUAUAAUGAUGAACUUAAGCAACUGAUCUGUCUCAUAUUUUCUGCUAAUAAGUUUGUAGUCACUUCUGUACCUCAGAAAAGUCAAUGAGCAAUAGGCCCAUGUUUUUCUGCAUUCCUGGGGUUGGAACAAGAGCCAAUUUUGAGGUGAAGGAGUUGAACUGAUUAUUUUGUUUGCAUCUGUACAUAAUAUAAUCCAAAUGAAGUCUUUGUUAGUUGUUAUUUUUAUUGUGACAAAAGGAAUUAAAGAAUGAAUUAGA
Molecule: RNA transcript, 6306 nt
Organism: Neoarius graeffei (lesser salmon catfish)
Lineage: Eukaryota; Metazoa; Chordata; Actinopteri; Siluriformes; Ariidae
Gene name: zinc finger protein DPF3-like
Exons: 11
Source: RefSeq, a predicted model, not a curated record